UUGUCUACAGUGGAGAAGCUAAGCCCCUCCGCCAACGCCCUUGCCUGCCACUCCGUGGCCUCGCCUGAUACACAGUGGUCGCCUUCCCUUGACAGCGGCGUUGCUGGCCACCGUGUUGCUCAUCUCGGCCAUGUUCCUCUUCGUGCUCAGCACCUAGGCGUCGCGUCCGACCCCGGUACCCUAAAUCCUCAGCAGUCGCCUUGGCUCCUGCAGCCGCGUCCAUGA
This 225-nucleotide unclassified non-coding RNA is filed under the name Zea mays. Its description in RNAcentral is "misc RNA Zm00001eb310880". The record is from RNAcentral. Lineage: Eukaryota; Viridiplantae; Streptophyta; Magnoliopsida; Poales; Poaceae.